RNAcentral lists this long non-coding RNA (305 nucleotides) under Ananas comosus (pineapple). RNAcentral's name for it is "long non-coding RNA (ACOM_LNC025304)". Lineage: Eukaryota; Viridiplantae; Streptophyta; Magnoliopsida; Poales; Bromeliaceae. The record is from RNAcentral.
GUUUAAUCCGAAUCAAAGGCUUUCUUUGGGAUUGCGGGAUGGUUGCGUUAUAUGCGAUAAGAAAAUACGUUGAAAAAAUAUUUUGUUUAUUUUCAUAUGUAAUAUUGUGUUACGAUGAGUCGGUUACAAUAUAUUUUCUGCGGUCCCACCGGAGAAGGCAAAAGUAUAUCCCUAUAUGCUUUUAACUCAACUUCAUUUUAUCUAAUAGCGCUAGAUAGAUUUCAAUAUCAAAUUAAGCCUAAUUCAAAUUUCGAUCAAAAGGUCUUUUUCUAAAAAGGAAAUCAGUAGAAAUAUAUAGGAUAUAU